This 362-nucleotide ribosomal RNA is filed under the name uncultured bacterium. Its description in RNAcentral is "partial 16S ribosomal RNA". It matches the Rfam family "Bacterial small subunit ribosomal RNA", at positions 338 to 717 of the family's 1533-position model. The record is from RNAcentral.
CCUACGGGUGGCAGCAGUGGGGAAUAUUGCACAAUGGGGGAAACCCUGAUGCAGCGACGCCGCGGGAGUGAAGAAGGAUUUCGGUAGGUAAAGCUCUAUCAGCAGGGAAGAAAAUGACGGUACAUGAGUAAGAAGCCCCGGCUAACGACGGGCCAGCAGCCGCGGUAAUACGUAGGGGGCAAGCGUUCUCCGGAUUUACUGGGUGUAAAGGGAGCGUAGACGGCAGCACCAGUCGGGAGUGAACUGCCGGGGCUUAACCCCGGAUCUGCUUUGGAAACUGUGCAGCUAGAGUGCAGUAGUGGUAAGUGCACUUCCUAGUGUAGCGGUGAAUUGCGUAGAUAUUAGGCGGAACCCCAGUGGCG